Molecule: ribosomal RNA, 440 nt
Filed under: uncultured bacterium
Lineage: Bacteria
Description: partial 16S ribosomal RNA
Rfam family: Bacterial small subunit ribosomal RNA
Source: RNAcentral
CCUACGGGAGGCAGCAGUGGGGAAUAUUGCACAAUGGGGGAAACCCUGAUGCAGCAACGCCGCGUGAGUGAAGGAGUAAUUCGUUAUGUAAAGCUCUAUCAGCGGGGAAGAAGAUGACGGUACCUGAGUCAGAAGCCCCGGCUAACUACGUGCCCGCAGCCGCGGGAAUACGUAGGGGGCCAGCGUUAUCCGGAUUUACUGGGUGUAAAGGGAGCGUAGACGGCAGUGCAAGUCUGGAGUGAAAGGCGGGGGCUCAACCCCCGGACUGCUCUGGAAACUGUACGGCUGGAGUGCAGGAGGGGUAAGUGGAAUUCCUAGUGUAGCGGUGAAAUGCGUAGAUAUUAGGAGGAACACCAGUGGCGAAGGCGGCUUACUGGACUGUAACUGGCGUUGAGGCUCGAAAGCGUGGGGAGCAAACAGGAUUAGAUACCCCAGUAGUC